GUUACUCCAACAGGCACAGCUUCCACACCACUGGGGGGCAGAGAGAGGUCUGCUCACAGCAAGACAACUGCUCUAGGACCCUGACUGUCCCCAACAGAUGGCCACAGUCACCACUCACAGGAUCUCCGAGAGAGGAGAAAAUGAAGGAGAUGUGCUGUCAGAAGAAAGAUCUGAUACUACUUGUGAUGGACAAUUUUAUGUGUCAUCUUGACUGGGCUAAGCAUGAGAAGAAGAGAAGACAGAUAACCUUCAGAGGAACAACAGAGAGGGACAUCUGACUUCAUCACAAGCUAGGGAAACCAGAGGUCUCCUGCCAUGAUCAGCCACCAAACUACAGACUUAAAAUCAACAAUUAUGGCCUGGAAACUCUAAAAUUGUGAGCCAAAUAAAACGUAGUCUCCUGGUAAGUUCAUUAUCUGAGAUAUCUUGUUAUACUAUCUGAAAGCUGACAUAGAGGUAUUUAAAACUGCCUGUACA
This is a long non-coding RNA of Fukomys damarensis (Damara mole-rat), 477 nucleotides long. RefSeq lists it as uncharacterized. The transcript is spliced from 4 exons. The record is from RefSeq and is a predicted model, not a curated record. Lineage: Eukaryota; Metazoa; Chordata; Mammalia; Rodentia; Bathyergidae.